CCACGGCUGCCACUCUACGCAGCCGGACCGGAUUUCUCAGGCUGGAGAAGCUACUCUGCGCGUCUUCGUGAAGGAGAACUCUUGCGUUCUGCUAGCCAGGGUCCCAGCUCCGACCCUGCUAGUUAGGACAAAGCUCUAGGAGGUGUCUAAGGGGGUGGGGGGAACCGUAAAGGGGAAACACUCGAGAUCCGGAAGUGGCGCUCCGGGGAGAAGGUGGCUGCGGCUGCUGGGGCCGCUGCGCCGGCGGCGGUUCCCGAUGUGGAGGUCCGUCUUGGGUGGGGAGGCACCCAGGUCGCUGGUUCGAUGCAGAGGAAGAAACCACACCUAGCACGUAAAGCCCUGAAAAAAUAGAGGUGUACAGUAGAGUUUUCCAGAGGCUACAUGACAUGCAGUAUCACAACGGAAGCAAAUAUAAGAACCCACCUGUCUCCUGUUAAAAUGCAAAAUGUAAAACAAUACCACUUUGCUAACUGUUUUUGUUUGGGGAAAUAUAGUUCAUAAAAAUAUUUAUGUUAACAUGUAAUUUAGGUUAAAAUAAAUUAAUAAAUAUUUGUAAAUUGUCUGUUUUAAUUUCUAAUAUGGUAAAUACAGAUAGAUAUAACCCAUAUAAACAAAACCUGUUUGGGGUCCUCAAUAAUAUUGAAGAGUGUUAUACAGGGGUCCUAAGGCCAAAGAAUUUGAUAAUGCUGCUCUAAGUCUUCCUUAUCCAUUAAAGUCCAAAUGAAAGCUGGGAACAGUAGCUAAUGCCUGUAACCCCAGUGCUUUGGGAGGCCGACAUAGGAGGAUUACUUGAGGCCAGGAGUUUGAGACCAGACAGGGCAACAUACGGAGACCCUGUUGCUACAAAAAUAAAUUUAAAACGUAGUUGGUCAUGGUGGCACAUGUCUGUAGUCCUAACUACUUGGGAGGCUGAGGCAGGAAGAUCACUUGAGCCUAGGAGCUUGAGGCUGCUAUGAUCCCGCCACUGCACUCCAGCCUGGGUGACAAAGCAAGACCCUGUCUCUGAAAAAAUAAAUAAAAUAGUUUUAAACUUAGAAAAAAAAGGUUCAUGUCAAAGCCUUCCUACUCGAUAAGACUUUUUGACCACUGCAACUAGAGAGGAUCUUGUCUGUCUCUGAAUACUACACACUUAUGGCACUUACACACUUAUGGCUCUUUUUUAUCAUUCAUCUAGUACAGACCUUGUGCCAAAAAGGAAUAUUGUUAUGUGGAUUCAGAGUGAUAAUUAAAGACAUGUGUUUGAUGGUGAAUCAUAAACAACCCUUUUACUUCGCAGUCUCUCUGAUUAGUCUUCCCAGC
Molecule: long non-coding RNA, 1299 nt
Filed under: Homo sapiens (human)
Lineage: Eukaryota; Metazoa; Chordata; Mammalia; Primates; Hominidae
Description: HSALNT0140933
Source: RNAcentral